GGGGGUCUAGCUCAAAUGGUAGAGCGCUCGCUUAGCAGUCUCGUUGUCGUAACAGAGAUUAAUUUGCGAGAGGCACGGGGAUCGAUGCCCCGGACCUCCA
Molecule: non-coding RNA, 100 nt
Organism: Borealophlyctis nickersoniae
Lineage: Eukaryota; Fungi; Chytridiomycota; Chytridiomycetes; Rhizophlyctidales; Borealophlyctidaceae
Source: the annotation of a GenBank genome assembly